UCUGCCGUCAAACUAACAAAAGUGGAUUUGGACACGCCCUAAACGCACCUGCACCAGGCGCUUCACGCCGUGAGAAAAGCGUCUAAAAGCCUUAAAUAAAAAAGCCUUGUGUUUCCUGUUUGUGUCUGAAAAAAAAAACUUCCAAAAAGUGCCAAAAAUGACAAAAAAGUGCCAAAAGUCGAACAAAGCGUGUUUCCUGUUUGUGGUUUCCGUUUGACGAAAAAAGUCCCAAACACACCGCAAUACGUGACAAAAACGCAGAAAGAAGCCACGACCAACGGCUCUAAAGAGACUGAAAAGAAACAUCCUAAAAGCACAAGCUGUUUCGGUUUGUGUCCACGUUAAAUAAACGAGAUACGUGUUAAUGAGUGACGUUUAGAGGUUCUGGUUGGUGGGUUUUUAUACUUUGGACAGAACCAGGCUAGCAGUUUCCCCCUGCUUCCAGUCUUUAUGCUAAGCUAGGCUAACAACGUCCUCACUGCAGCUCCACGAACACAUCACAAAGACUGUUUGUAGGAGGUAUGGCAAGCCGUGUGGAACAUUUAUACGAUCCAUCUGAUACUAGUCAGUUUUCAUUUUAGACAUCAACAAUGGAAA
Long non-coding RNA from Sander lucioperca (pikeperch), 597 nucleotides. RefSeq lists it as uncharacterized. The transcript has 2 exons. The record is from RefSeq and is a predicted model, not a curated record. Lineage: Eukaryota; Metazoa; Chordata; Actinopteri; Perciformes; Percidae.